Molecule: ribosomal RNA, 360 nt
Filed under: Triticum aestivum (bread wheat)
Lineage: Eukaryota; Viridiplantae; Streptophyta; Magnoliopsida; Poales; Poaceae
Description: partial small subunit ribosomal RNA
Source: RNAcentral
UCAGGCCGCGAGCUCCUUCUUCUGGGGGUGUACGUGGAUGACCUGGUGAUCACCGGGGCCGACGCCACGGAGAUCGACAAUUUCAAGACGGCGAUGAAGGGCAAGUUUAGGAUGAGCGAUCUCGGGUUGCUCUCCUACUACCUGGGCAUUGAAGUGCGCCAGGAUGUGGAUGGUGUGACCAUUGCGCAGAGCGCGUACGCUGACAAGAUCAUUGAGAAGGCGGGGCUGAUGGGGUGUAAUGCACGUCAGACACCCAUGGAAGCGCGUCUGAAGCUGAGCAAGGCAAGCACAGCGGCUUCGACGGACGCUACGGAGUACAGGAGCAUGGUGGGGACGUUGCGCUACCUCACCCACUCCCGA